RNAcentral lists this unclassified non-coding RNA (242 nucleotides) under Botrytis porri. RNAcentral's name for it is "sequence contains 5.8S rRNA gene". The stretch from base 1 to 53 matches the Rfam family "5.8S ribosomal RNA", at positions 102 to 154 of the family's 154-position model. The record is from RNAcentral. Lineage: Eukaryota; Fungi; Ascomycota; Leotiomycetes; Helotiales; Sclerotiniaceae.
GAACGCACAUUGCGCCCCUUGGUAUUCCGGGGGGCAUGCCUGUUCGAGCGUCAUUUCAACCCUCAAGCUCUGCUUGGUAUUGAGUCCAUGUCAGCAAUGGCAGGCUCUAAAAUCAGUGGCGGCGCCGCUGGGUCCUGAACGUAGUAAUAUCUCUCGUUACAGGUUCUCGGUGUGCUUCUGCCAAAACCCAAAUUUUUCUAUGGUUGACCUCGGAUCAGGUAGGGAUACCCGCUGAACUUAAG